This 305-nucleotide ribosomal RNA is filed under the name uncultured bacterium. RNAcentral's name for it is "bacterial SSU rRNA". It matches the Rfam family "Bacterial small subunit ribosomal RNA", at positions 333 to 652 of the family's 1533-position model. The record is from RNAcentral.
AUGUACCUACGGGAGGCAGCAGUGGGGAAUAUUGGACAAUGGGGGGAACCCUGAUCCAGCGACGCCGCGUGAGUGAAGAAGUAUUUCGGUAUGUAAAGCUCUAUCAGCAGGGAAGAAAGAAAUGACGGUACCUGACUAAGAAGCCCCGGCUAACUACGUGCCAGCAGCCGCGGUAAUACGUAGGGGGCAAGCGUUAUCCGGAUUUACUGGGUGUAAAGGGAGCGUAGACGGCGAUGCGAGUCUGAAGUGAAAGGCGGGGGCCCAACCCCCGGACUGCUUUGGAAACUGAAUAGCUGGGUGGCGGG